CCCUGCCCCUUGGCUCCGCGUCGCCCCGCCUCGCGGUGCAGGCCGGGAGUGGGAGUCCCGCGAAGCGAAGACGAAGCUGCCCACCGGGGCCGCUAUGCAAAUAAGCGGGGCGGGGCGGCGGUUGAACGGAAGUUGGGGCCGUCGUUGCUCCUGCUGCGCGCGGGGUGGUACACAGAGGAGCCAUAAGGGAGCGUCUUGCCAGCCAAGCCGUCACCUUCUGUCCCAGGCCCGAGACAUCCCAGCGGAGCCAUGAGGGAACCGCAUGCAGCCCCCCGUGCACCCUGGGUCGGCCCCACAGCUCCCUGAGGAGGCAGAGCUGCUGCUGCUGCUGUCUCCACAGCUCUGAGGCAAAAUGCCAGCGUCCACUGGGAAGCACGAGGUGUAGCACGGCUGGUUCUCACUGCUGCUGGCCCCUCAGCCAUGUCCCUGUCUCGUGUGGAAAAUCCCUGUUUUCUGCUCUUCCUCGCUGGCUUUCAAGCAUUGUUUAUCCUAAUCCUGUACCGAGGUGGAGCAACUAGUGUGUUUCGGGGGAUUUUGGAGGCACCUCGGGCCUUGGAUUACUCCAGAACACACGAUGUGUACUCAAACCUCAGUCUGUUCACCCGAGCGCCGAACAAGGACACCAUGCGAUACUGCACAGCCCAGUCUCCAAUAUUUGUUGGUCCAUUAACGAUCAGCUUCAAUAUGCUCCCCAGUGAAAGAACAAUUAUUAACAAAAAUCCCUUUGUUCAGCCUGGUGGCCGCUACAGCCCUCCUCAUUGCCUGGCUCGCUACAAAUCAGCCAUUAUUAUACCACACAAGAACCAGGAAAAGUACCUUCGACACCUUCUCUAUUACCUUCAUCCCUUCCUGCAGCGCCAGCAGCUCCAUUAUGGCAUCUACUUGAUUCAGCAGGCUGGAAAUACCACAUUUAACCGAGCAAAGCUCCUUAACGUUGGCGUCCGAGAAGUCCUGAAGGAUGAGGACUGGGACUGCCUCCUCCUGCAUGAUGUGGACCUUGUUCCUGAGAAUGAUUAUAAUCUCUACAUCUGUGAUGAAUAUUUCCCCAAACACAUGGCUAGUGCCGUGGACAAGUUCCAAUACAGUUUGCCAUAUUUGUCCUUUUUUGGGGGUGUAUCUGCAUUGACACCAGAUCACUACAUGAAGAUGAAUGGAUUUCCUAACACCUACUGGGGUGCUGGUAGUGAAGACGACAUUGCUGCAAGGAUUCAGUUAGCGGGAAUGAAAAUAGCCCGGACCCCCAUUCAUCUUGGACGCUACAAAAUGAUGGAUCAGGAGCAAACCGCAGGGAGGGAAGAACUCCUGAGAAGGCCUGCUCCACUGCACGACACCACAAAAACCUGGAGGGACGAUGGAAUGAAUACUAUAGAGUAUAUACUCCUUGCUAGGAAGAAGCACCCUCUGUAUACCAACAUCACAGUGGACAUAGGAUAUAUUCCCCCAGUGCUUUCGAAGAGUGCAAAGAAAGGAAAAAGAGGCUGAGUUACUAGGGUAGUCAGUGGCAAGAGUGAAGUCCAGGAGCUUCCAGUCUGCAUCUAGUCAGGAAGAUGAUGUCCAUAAAGACUCUUGAAAAACUGUUUAGAAGAUGGGUGAAAUGUAGAGCAGACUGAAGGAACACACAAGGUUAGAACAAAAGUCCACAGGAACGAGGCACAACUGCUACUUUAUGGGAUUUGGCCUAUUGUAGAGAAUCCCUUUUAAAGCUUUGUCAAAUGUGAUGUCUACUGAGCCACAUGCACGUCCCACCCCUUAGAUGUAGCCUAGAGGUGUAAGUUCUAGUCACAACCAGAUAAGUCCUCUGAGCUAGAGACUCCUGAGCACCGCAUCCCAUUGCUGGAGAGCUGAAUGCCAGGUUUGUCUAUAAACUAUUAGGGUGAGAAUGUGGGCACUGGACUCCUUGGUUCUGUUUCUGACUCAGCAGUUGUUGUAAUUGGAGAUCUGUGAAUAAGGAUUGUAGAAAGAGAUACCCUUACAAGGAAAAAAAUUACUAGCAUGAAUAGAUGCUGGCAAAUAAGAGGUAGGAGAGGAAUAAGUGCCCAGAGCUAGAAUUAUUGGGCUGUCUGACUAUCUACAGCAUCUAAAACGGAUCCUGGCCUAUGUAUGAAGUGCAGUCUCUACAUAACUUUCAGUAAAAAUCCCCUUGGUUAUUGUGUGCUAUUACCUAAUGCAAACUCAACUUUUUCUUCACCAAUCCCAAAAUCUACCAGCUGUCUCUCCUAAACAGAGAUCAUACACUUGUGUGUUGUGUUGUCCUGAUGACCCUUCUAAUGGAAUAAAAGUCAAGAAACGGA
RNA transcript from Gavialis gangeticus (Gharial), 2291 nucleotides. It is a transcript of the gene named beta-1,4-galactosyltransferase 3, with no coding region annotated. Lineage: Eukaryota; Metazoa; Chordata; Crocodylia; Gavialidae. The record is from RefSeq and is a predicted model, not a curated record. The transcript is spliced from 9 exons.